CCUACGGGUGGCAGCAGUGAGGAAUAUUGGUCAAUGGACGAGAGUCUGAACCAGCCAAGUAGCGUGAAGGAUGACUGCCCUAUGGGUUGUAAACUUCUUUUAUAAAGGAAUAAAACGAGGCACGUGUGCCUUUUUGCAUGUACUUUAUGAAUAAGGAUCGGCUAACUCCGUGCCAGCAGCCGCGGUAAUACGGAGGAUCCGAGCGUUAUCCGGAUUUAUUGGGUUUAAAGGGAGCGUAGAUGGGUUGUUAAGUCAGUUGUGAAAGUUUGCGGCUCAACCGUAAAAUUGCAAUUGAUACUGGCAGUCGUGAGUACAGUUGAGGUAGGCGGAAUUCGUGGUGUAGCGGUGAAAUGCUUAGAUAGCACGAAGAACCCCGAUUGCGAAGGCAGCUUACUAAACUGUGACUGACAUUUAUGCUCGAAAGUGUGGGUAUCAAACAGGAUUAGAUACCCCUGUAGUC
This 460-nucleotide ribosomal RNA is filed under the name uncultured bacterium. RNAcentral describes it as "partial 16S ribosomal RNA". It matches the Rfam family "Bacterial small subunit ribosomal RNA", at positions 338 to 795 of the family's 1533-position model. The record is from RNAcentral.